Molecule: long non-coding RNA, 263 nt
Filed under: Elaeis guineensis (African oil palm)
Lineage: Eukaryota; Viridiplantae; Streptophyta; Magnoliopsida; Arecales; Arecaceae
Description: long non-coding RNA (EGUI_LNC055806)
Source: RNAcentral
UGGCAACAUCUCUCCGAACUUCUCUAGCGGUCGAGCCCCCACAACACUCCCAAGUUUUGCCGACGGAUAAAUCCCCACCAGCGUCGAUCAGAUUCUUCACGACAGACGGACUCCUACGGGAGCCGGACUUCAUCGCUGACUUUGACUGCGUGAGGACUUCGUCCGGACUCCUACGGGAGCCGGACUUCGCCCCCGACGUCAAUUGCAAGUGAACUUCGUCCGGACUCCUACGGGAGUCGGACUUCAUCCCCGGCUUCUACUGC